This 2149-nucleotide long non-coding RNA is filed under the name Homo sapiens (human). RNAcentral describes it as "HSALNT0322029". The record is from RNAcentral. Lineage: Eukaryota; Metazoa; Chordata; Mammalia; Primates; Hominidae.
UAUGCAAGCUCCUGGAAUGCCUGUGGUUUCUCCAGCACCUGGGUCCUGCUGGCAACCAGCAGCACCCAGUGGCCAGCAGCGUACUCUUUCACCUCUUCUUGGGUGACUUUGUGGAAUGCUCCAAUGUGACAUCUCCCUGUGAACGCCUUUCCUGACACCCUAAAAAGUGUCAGGAAUUUCCAGCAAGUUCCAGAGAGCAGGUUUCCAGCAAGUUUGGUCAGUAUGACACCACAGCGAUAUCUCUGCCAUUCACUGAACUUGGAUUCUUCCUUCUUCAGUGAGAGAUGUUCAAGAAAAAGAACAACUUCAGUGGAAGAAGAAGAAGAUAGGAGCCCAGGUCCUGUGUUUCACCAAGACAGCCGUGCAAAGCAGAUGCUGCCAAAAAGGUGCAAAGUGGUUUGUCAGCUCUUCUGCAUGUUCUAACAAAUUAGACAUGCAUCCCAAAAGGUUUCCUAGACUUUCCAUCACCACCAGUGAAUUCUGAGUGACAAUAGUGUGGAAUUUGGAAGAAUGGAAGAGAAACUGAAGUGGAGAGAUGGUGAAAGAGAAGAAAAAAUGAAGAAAGAUGCUUGCAAAAAUACUGCUGUGGGUCCUGAGAUGAGGAUUCUGGGAGGGCUGAAAUGGAUGCCCCUGACAGCUCCCUUUGAGUUCCUGUUCAUCUGAAGUACACCAGCUUUCUAGAUAUGCUGUCACUUUCCUUCUGCAGAGCCACAGUGGUGUCCUGUCUUCUCAGACCUCUUCUCACCUCAAAUCACUUAGGACUCGGCCACCAGACAGAUUUGGGAUUUCAGAACUUUUCAGAUGUUAGAAAGUUCUUUUCUAAAUGUGAUGAGGAAUUACGGAAUCAUAAAAUGGAAGCAGAGUUAAACUCAGACAUGUGGGCACUCAAGGCAAUUAGGAGCUUUCUGCGAUGAGAAAGGGAUCAGACUGAUCCUUAAGACUUUAUGCAACCCCAGAGUAUUGCAGCCACCUGCAUGCCGAAGGUGUCAAGAGUGUUCUCACUGCUGCCUAUAGGAGGGUCUUCAGCCUCCAGUGAUCCAAAGUACCAGGCUGACCUGUGACUGCUUCGGCCAACUGAAUAGGGAAGAGUGAUGCUGUGCUGUUUCCAGGCCUGUUCUUUAAAAGUACUUGGAAGCUUCUGCCUUGGCCUCUUUGUGCCUGAGUUGCUGUAUAAGAAUCUGACUACCUUGCUGGAGAGACCUUGUGGAGAAGACUUGACCUUAUAUGCAGAGGUAGAGGGGCCCUGGUUAGUCCAGCCAUCUAGCCAUCCUGUCAAAAUAGCAGAUCCAUUUCCUGCCCUUCUUUUAUUCUACUCUGUAUUACAGCCAACCACAUUUCCAGGCUCCCUUGUCCUCUGCUAUCUAGGAGUAUGAUGGCCAAUGGAUCCAAAACCUAUCCUAUAUCUACAUGUUGGUGGCCACAUUAAUCUGACAUCUGACAGCAAGAGCGAUGAUUGGGUUCACUGGAAAUCUUUGUGAAGUACGAGUGAAGUCCUUGUGAAGUCAGAGUUUCCUCUUCAUGCCUCUACUCCUAUGCAGUUUGACCUCUCAGUGUGCAGCUGGUGAUAGAUGGAAACCCUUGUUCAUAAGCUUUGUGGCACUGUCGGCAGGAUGAGGGGACUUCUGGAUCCUCACUGGUCACUGUGGCAGAGUGGUUGGUGUUGUCUGCUCCCUAGACAGGAACCCACUGAAGAAUCUGACAUUUUUUGAUAUGCUGGCAUUCAUUGUUACAGCCCAUCAUCCCAGCCAUCAAUCCAGGACAUGGGGUCUGUGCCCACGGUGGGAAGGAGGAGGGGGAAGCUGGCUUUGUUCUGACGUUGGGCUUCUUCUGCUCCACCAGUACUUUCUGUGGGGGAAAUAGGUAAAGAAAUGGCUGUUCAGAUGAGAAGAUGUGUCAGUAAACUUUUGCUACAGUGAUGCUGCAAAACAAAUCACUGGUGACUUUCAGUGGCACACAGCAAUAAACAUUUAUUUAGCUCAGGGAUUGACAAUCUUUUUUUUUUUUUAAAGGGCCAAAUAGUAAAUAUUUUAGGUGUUUCAGGCCAUACAGUCUCUGAACUCUGAACUUGUAGCACAACAGUAGCCUUAGAUGCUAUGCAAAUGGAGGAGCAUGACUGUGUUCCAAUAAAACUUUAUUUAUGGACACUAAA